Molecule: ribosomal RNA, 539 nt
Filed under: uncultured bacterium
Lineage: Bacteria
Description: bacterial SSU rRNA
Rfam family: Bacterial small subunit ribosomal RNA
Source: RNAcentral
GGAUCCAGACUUUGAUUCUGGCUCAGAUUGAACGCUGGCGGCAGGCCUAACACAUGCAAGUCGAGCGGAAACGAGUUAACUGAACCUUCGGGGAACGUUAACGGCGUCGAGCGGCGGACGGGUGAGUAAUGCCUGGGAAAUUGCCCUGAUGUGGGGGAUAACCAUUGGAAACGAUGGCUAAUACCGCAUAAUAGCUUCGGCUCAAAGAGGGGGACCUUCGGGCCUCUCGCGUCAGGAUAUGCCCAGGUGGGAUUAGCUAGUUGGUGAGGUAAUGGCUCACCAAGGCGACGAUCCCUAGCUGGUCUGAGAGGAUGAUCAGCCACACUGGAACUGAGACACGGUCCAGACUCCUACGGGAGGCAGCAGUGGGGAAUAUUGCACAAUGGGCGCAAGCCUGAUGCAGCCAUGCCGCGUGUAUGAAGAAGGCCUUCGGGUUGUAAAGUACUUUCAGCAGUGAGGAAGGUGUUGUCGUUAAUAGCGGCAUCAUUUGACGUUAGCUGCAGAAGAAGCACCGGCUAACUCCGUGCCAGCAGCCGCGG